This 468-nucleotide ribosomal RNA is filed under the name uncultured bacterium. RNAcentral's name for it is "partial 16S ribosomal RNA". It matches the Rfam family "Bacterial small subunit ribosomal RNA", at positions 28 to 507 of the family's 1533-position model. The record is from RNAcentral.
GACGAACGCUGGCGGCGUGCUUAACACAUGCAAGUCGAACGGAAAGGCCCUGCUUUUGUGGGGUGCUCGAGUGGCGAACGGGUGAGUAACACGUGAGUAACCUGCCCUUGACUUUGGGAUAACUUCAGGAAACUGGGGCUAAUACCGGAUAGGAGCUCCUGCUGCAUGGUGGGGGUUGGAACGUUUCGGCGGUUGGGGAUGGACUCGCGGCUUAUCAGCUUGUUGGUGGGGUAGUGGCUUACCAAGGCUUUGACGGGUAGCCGGCCUGAGAGGGUGGCCGGCCACAUUGGGACUGAGAUACGGCCCAGACUCCUACGGUAGGCAGCAGUGGUGAGUAUUGCACAAUGGGAGGAAGCCUGAUGCAGCAACGCCGCGGGCGGGAUGACGGCCUUCGGGUUGUAAACCGCUUUCGCCUGUGACGAAGCGUGAGUGACGGUAAUGGGUAAAGAAGCACCGGCUAACUACGUG